GCGCCCAUAGCUCAAUGGAUAGAGUGCCGGACUUCGAAUCCGUCGGUUGAGCGUUCGACCCGCUCUGGGCGCA
RNAcentral lists this transfer RNA (73 nucleotides) under Chloroflexota bacterium. Its description in RNAcentral is "Chloroflexi bacterium (anaerobic digester metagenome) tRNA-Arg". It matches the Rfam family "tRNA". From Rfam's summary of the family: Transfer RNA (tRNA) molecules are approximately 80 nucleotides in length. Their secondary structure includes four short double-helical elements and three loops (D, anti-codon, and T loops). Further hydrogen bonds mediate the characteristic L-shaped molecular structure. tRNAs have two regions of fundamental functional importance: the anti-codon, which is responsible for specific mRNA codon recognition, and the 3' end, to which the tRNAs corresponding amino acid is attached (by aminoacyl-tRNA synthetases). tRNAs cope with the degeneracy of the genetic code in two manners: having more than one tRNA (with a specific anti-codon) for a particular amino acid; and 'wobble' base-pairing, i.e. permitting non-standard base-pairing at the 3rd anti-codon position. The record is from RNAcentral. Lineage: Bacteria; Bacillati; Chloroflexota.